RNAcentral lists this ribosomal RNA (301 nucleotides) under uncultured bacterium. RNAcentral describes it as "partial 16S ribosomal RNA". It matches the Rfam family "Bacterial small subunit ribosomal RNA", at positions 512 to 808 of the family's 1533-position model. The record is from RNAcentral.
CAUCGCCGCGGUAAUACGUAGGGUGCAAGCGUUAAUCGGAAUUACUGGGCGUAAAGCGUGCGCAGGCGGUUAUAUAAGACAGAUGUGAAAUCCCCGGGCUCAACCUGGGAACUGCAUUUGUGACUGUAUAGCUAGAGUACGGCAGAGGGGGAUGGAAUUCCGCGUGUAGCAGUGAAAUGCGUAGAUAUGCGGAGGAACACCGAUGGCGAAGGCAAUCCCCUGGGCCUGUACUGACGCUCAUGCACGAAAGCGUGGGGAGCAAACAGGAUUAGAUACCCCAGUAGUCCCUGUCUCUUAUACA